Molecule: long non-coding RNA, 121 nt
Organism: Humulus lupulus (European hop)
Lineage: Eukaryota; Viridiplantae; Streptophyta; Magnoliopsida; Rosales; Cannabaceae
Exons: 2
Source: RefSeq, a predicted model, not a curated record
AAUUGAAAAACCUUCAAUGACUAUAUCAGACAACAAGGUUAACACUAUUGUAAAGGAGAAACCAAACAUAAUGCAGCUGAAGAUGUCAGGCUUACAAUUUUCCAUGAAAUCCAAAGACAAA